This 72-nucleotide transfer RNA is filed under the name Lachnospiraceae bacterium. RNAcentral's name for it is "tRNA-Arg". It matches the Rfam family "tRNA". From Rfam's summary of the family: Transfer RNA (tRNA) molecules are approximately 80 nucleotides in length. Their secondary structure includes four short double-helical elements and three loops (D, anti-codon, and T loops). Further hydrogen bonds mediate the characteristic L-shaped molecular structure. tRNAs have two regions of fundamental functional importance: the anti-codon, which is responsible for specific mRNA codon recognition, and the 3' end, to which the tRNAs corresponding amino acid is attached (by aminoacyl-tRNA synthetases). tRNAs cope with the degeneracy of the genetic code in two manners: having more than one tRNA (with a specific anti-codon) for a particular amino acid; and 'wobble' base-pairing, i.e. permitting non-standard base-pairing at the 3rd anti-codon position. The record is from RNAcentral. Lineage: Bacteria; Bacillati; Bacillota; Clostridia; Lachnospirales; Lachnospiraceae.
GUUCCGGUAGUUUAAUGGAUAAAAUAAGGGCCUCCUAAGCUCUGGCUCCGGGUUCGAUUCCCGGUCGGAACA